AAAAACAUCAAAUCAAAAGCCAUGGUAUAGACACAAAGGGUCUGUAGGGUAAAAAGAGAAGAAGAAAUAUAUAUAAAUAAAAUUAAAUUUAAGUUUGAGUAAAAACUAGUUUUGACUGGCAUUUCCCUGAUGAGUAAGGAUGCUGAACGUUUCUCUAGUGCUUCUGUGUAUAUGUUUGUCUUAUCAGUUGUUGAAUAAAACACUGAUUGGCCAGGCAAGAUGAUAGGUAGGACUAGGAGACAAGGAGGAUUCUGGGAAAUGUAGGCAGAGAGGAGUCGUCACGUUGAUCCCAAGAAGUGAUGUAGCUGGGCAGAAACUGCCACUAGCUAACCAUAGAGGUCUGGAGGUCUGUAUAGACAGGCAGGAAGUGACGUAGCUGGUCAGGUCACCCUGAUAUAAUCAGGGACAAAUAGGAAAUCACUCUCUUCUCUGCAGACUUGCUGAGAAGUCGACAUGUAGAAUGGCAGAGGAGUAACAGGUCCCUGAAUCUUUCUCUGGAAAGAGAAGACCACGUGGGAAUACUUGGAUUAAUAAUGAUGGGUCUCAUCACCUCGGAAAGAUGCUGCAGGCUGUAACCACACGUGGAGAUCAGACACAUUACAGCUCUCCAUAGCAAGGCGUUCACAUGCAGAUUUUAGAGGAGCACAGUAUCUACUCCGUUUCGGAAAGAGAGCAUCAACUUCCUCCACUCCACACACUUUGCUCAAAGGACAUACUCAUAGGAACACAGGACUCCUGAGUCCAUUACGGAGCUGUGUGUCAGCUGAUUUACCACCUUCGAUGGUUAGUGGUGACUGUCUACUUGACAGGAUCACCUAGGAGACAAGACUAUGAGGAUACUUGUGAGGGAUUCUCUUGGUUAGGUUGGCUGAUGUGUGAAGACACACACUAAAAGUAAAUGAACAACAGCG
This 911-nucleotide long non-coding RNA is filed under the name Cricetulus griseus (Chinese hamster). Its description in RNAcentral is "lncRNA (ENSCGRG00015033489.1)". Lineage: Eukaryota; Metazoa; Chordata; Mammalia; Rodentia; Cricetidae. The record is from RNAcentral.